CAAGUCGAGCGAGGCGGGGAGCAAUCCCCAGUCGAGCGGCGAACGGGUGAGUAACGCGUGGAUGACCUGCCCUUUAGUGGGGAAUAACCCGGGGAAACUCGGGCUAAUACCGCAUACGACCAAGAGGUGAAAGAGGGGAGCAAUCCUCUUGCUGAAGGAGGGGUCCGCGUUCGAUUAGCUAGUUGGUAGGGUAAUGGCCUACCAAGGCGACGAUCGAUAGCCGGCCUGAGAGGGUGAUCGGCCACACUGGAACUGAGACACGGUCCAGACUCCUACGGGAGGCAGCAGUGGGGAAUUUUGCGCAAUGGGCUAACGCCUGACGCAGCAACGCCGCGUGGAGGAUGAAGGUCUUUGGAUUGUAAACUCCUGUCAGCAGGGAAAAAGCGAUAGGGCCUAAUACGUCCUAGAGUUGAUUGUACCUGCAGAGGAAGCCCCGGCUAACUCUGUGCCAGCAGCCGCGGUAAUACAGAGGGGGCAAGCGUUAUUCGGAAUUAUUGGGCGUAAAGGGCGCGUAGGCGGCUUUUCAAGUGACGGGUGAAAUCCCUCGGCUUAACCGAGGAACUGCCUGUCAGACUGGAAGGCUUGAGACCGGGAGAGGUGAGUGGAAUUCCCAGUGUAGCGGUGAAAUGCGUAGAUAUUGGGAGGAACACCAGUGGCGAAGGCGGCUCACUGGACCGGAACUGACGCUGAGGCGCGAAAGCGUGGGGAGCAAACAGGAUUAGAUACCCUGGCAGUCCACGCCGUAAACGAUGAGUGCUUGGUGUAGCGGGUAUCGACCCCUGCUGUGCCGAAGUCAACACAUUAAGCACUCCGCCUGGGGAGUACGGUCG
RNAcentral lists this ribosomal RNA (830 nucleotides) under uncultured Bacillota bacterium. RNAcentral describes it as "bacterial SSU rRNA". It matches the Rfam family "Bacterial small subunit ribosomal RNA", at positions 58 to 888 of the family's 1533-position model. The record is from RNAcentral. Lineage: Bacteria; Bacillati; Bacillota.